UGCUUAAAGUUUUAAAAAUUUGUGUGGUUUGAACUUUUGGUUUGUAGAUGCUUAUUGCUAAUUGUUGAUGAUCCGGCAUGAUGUAAAACUGCAUGUGAUGAAGAUUUUGUUGAAAAUAUAAGAUUAUUUUCUUUUGAGUAAGUGAAAAUGAAUUUUUCACUAGAGUGAGAAAGGAGUAGGAUGUAAGUAGAUCCUAGUGUGUGUUGUUAUAUGUUUGUUUAUAACAUGUGGUAGAUUGAUUACUAGUACUUAGUGUGGUUCUUUAAUUGAACUAUGUGAAUGUAUUCUCAUGAUGAGAACUUGUUUGAGAACAUGCUAUGUUUUAUACAUGUUUGAGUAGAUGUUGUAAGUAUGCGAACAAAUGAAAUGUAAUGCAUGUACUUGACUCGAUGUCUUGUGUACAUGGAUGUUUUGUUGUCUUACAUAUAUUUUAGUUAUAAAUAUAUGUAUUGACAUGUUGUUGUGUUUGCGUAUGCUAGUUGGUAUGAAGGUUGUUACACUAGUAUAUGUGGGGAAUAGAAUACUUAUGUAUUUGCGUAGUGGCGUAUAUGUCAAGAGGACUGUACAGGAUAUUUGUGUAGAUGUCUAGGUUUAAUGCCUUACGUUUACCCUUGUAUGCGACACGCAUGUGAAUGUUGUCGGUACUAGAUUCUUUUUGGGAGAAUAUAUUUAGAAUCGAUAGAAUGACUAGGAGUUUAUACCGGAAGUUCUAGUGGAAGAGUAUAGAUGGGUUUGAGAUAAGUGGGGGAGAAAGUUGUGUCUCUCCGAGAUGGUUCGAAUGUGAAGAAGUUAGGAUGGAUGGAGAUGCUCUUGAAGUAGAUUGUUCAAGAUUGAUUAGUGUUGUUCGAAGUGGAAGGAACUUGGACAGCAAGUUGUGAGGAUUGCUAGAUGAGAAGUUGUUGGACUAAGUGUUCGUCAUGGGAUCAACACUGAGAUUGGUUAAGAAAGAUGAAGACCGUUUGGAAACGAUUGGAGAUCGUGUAGUGUACAAAAGAGUAUGGACUAGAGGCGGAUGAGAACUACAAGAAUUUCUCAGAAGCAAUACCAUGGAAUGGAAGGAGUAGGACGUUGUCGUUCAGACAAGUUGAGUAAGGACGAGUAGACGUCAAUUUGAUAAGGGAUUGAAAGUAAAGUUCUUAUUUGGAGAGUAUUUUGGAGGAAAUAUUAGAUGAUCAUUCCGGAAGAUUCAGAAUGAGUCGAACUAAAGUUGUUUAGCCGUAAAGAGAAUGUGACCAUUGUUGAAUGGUGGAACGGACAGAGAUGUUAAAUGAAAACCGUUGUUGGAAAACGGAGAAGACGUUGUGCGUUAAGAGUAGGCGAACCUAGUGAUGAUUAGGAGAUGGUUAUAAGAAUGGUGGGAAUACCUAUAGAGUUGUAUCAGUGUGAGCUAAACUUGUUAAUUAUUAGCAAGUGAACCUUUAAGGAAAGUAAACAUUUUGAAUAGUUCGAAGAGACUAGUCAAGAUUGGAAUAGAGAUUUUGUGUGGAUGAACUUUAGGAUGUUAUGACUUUAAGAUAGUCACGAGAUGCGAAUAAGAACUGAUCGAAUGGAGAAAAGUAUGUUUGUCACAAUGAGAAUGAUCCGUGACUAGUUGGAUUGUGUGCGACAAAUUAAGGACGUUGUUGGAAUCAACAAGAUAGAGAUCAUGGUUGUUUGGAAAUCAACUUUUGGAUAGUCACCGAGAUUGAAUAUGGACUUACUAGGUGAUCGAGAAGAGCCUAGGAAGGAUUUAUAGUGGUUGAGUGUGUUAGAGCCAAGUAAUCAUUUCUUGGAAAGAUUUGAGAAGCUUAGAAAUAGAUGUUAAGCUUAGAGAACCAUUAGUGUUGCAUAAUCAAGGAAAAGAAGUAAAUUCUCAUAGUAGAUGAGAAUGGAAUUAAGAGAUACCGUAGUAGGGUUAGUAAACUUGUGAAGGUGUCAAGUAGUAGAGGACGGUAUGAGUAGUAGAGUUAUUCCAAGAUAGAAGUGAGGUAACAAUUUGAUGGAUUUUGUAAGAGUUUGUUGAGAAGGAAAUAUUUUCAUUUGGAUAAUGAUCGGACAAUUGGUGUCGAGGUUGGAUGGAACCUUAGAAGUCGAAAGGAAGCUAAGUACGAAGUGUCGUAUUUGGAUAAUUGGAAAUAAGGAAGUUAGCCUUUGGAAACGUGUCGAGCACGAGUAUUAGAGAGAUGUAAAGAAGUGACUUAUGUUGAGUAAAAGUUCGUUGGAAAAGUUAAUUAUGAGAUGGAAAAGUCGGUGGAGAUUAGAGAUGUUGGAUACAUCGUAAUCUAUUGGAAUAAUAAGGUCAUACCAUGUGGUAAGUGAUUUAAGGAUUUCAGAUAAUGUCAUCGUGGACGGUGGAACGACAGUGAGUCGAUGGGUGACUGCAGAUAAUAUUUUGGAUAAGAGCAUUUCGAUGGAGAAAUGAUAUUGGAAAUGACAUGUUAAGAAUCUUAGAAAUUGGCUAAGAGGUUAUUUGGAAAUAAAGUGAUUGUGUUGGAAUGCGACGCAAUGAUUUGGAAAUUGUAAGAAUAAGGAAUUUAACGGUUAGAGAUGGUGAAUUUGACAAGUGUCAAGAAAAUUUGAAGAGUUGGUCAACAAAGGAAUGUUGAGGUUGUGUUGUCGACUAAAUGGUUGGGAUAAGAUUCAACAAAGUUAAGUGAUUAAGGAAAGAAGUAAAGGUUUAUGGAACUUGAAAAGUUGUGAAGUGUUCAACGGAGUGUCUUUCGAGGUGCAUUAGACGGAGUCGAAGUUGUUUUGGAGUAGUGUCGUGAGUACCCUAAGAUAUUAUUUGGACGUUUAAGUAGUUUGAUGAGAAUGGUUCAUACCGUCAUCGUGAUUGUUGACUAUCUAUCGACAAAUUGAGGGACUGGCCGUCCUUGAUCUAUUGUUGGUAGUAGACGAAAUUGUGAUGAUUGGGGUGAACUGAUUUUGUCAAACUUGGUUUGAUAUGGAAUUGGAACGUUUUGUUAGCAUGAAUCCGUAGAAAGGAUGAUUUUUGGACCGGAGAUUGUGUAAGAGAUCACAUCGGUUAAGGUAUUAUGAGUAGAAACCCGUUGGUUAGAAUGUAAGUUGGGAAUUAGAAAGUUGGAUUAGAGUUUUAUCUGAGGUUGUGUUUUAGUCGGAUAAUUUUCGAGGGCGAAAAUCUUUUAAGUGGGGGAGAGUUGUAACGACCCGAAAUUUAUUAUUCGUUAUUUAAUUAUUUUAUUACGCGGGGGCGUGAUUCAUAAUUAUUUUAUUAAGCAGCGAAUAAUUAAUUGGCGCGAACCUAAGUUAAUACGCGAGUUAGGAGCGUUACGUGAGCGAAACCAUGCAAGUGGGCUUGAAGCCCAAUGAGCCAAGGCAAGGGAAAGGGGGGCGGUUUGUGAUGCAAGUGGGAGGAGAAGAUAUUUUCUUCUACUUGGUUGGUAAGAAAAGUCAAUAAAGGUGGAAAGGAGAUAAGAACAAGAGAAAAAUCACAAAGUUCAUUCAUCCUUCUUCUUCUCUCUUCUUUGGCCGUGACCAUUCUUUUCCAUUCCUUCCAUCACAAAUUUCAUUUCUUCACCAAAUUGAUCCAUCUUAAGCUUGUUGGAAACAUGAGAGUUCAUGGAUCAUCAUCCCUAAGCUAGGGCAAGCAAGAGAGCAAAGCAAGAGGGUGCUAGGGCUUGAGAAAGAGAGGAGCUCAUGAGAGCUAGAACAUGAGGAGCUUGAGGAUUCAUCAAAUUUCUAAGAUAUCCAGAUUGACAGGUUAUAUGUUAGCUUGUCCGAGUAGCGUGGUGAAGCUCCGCUCUGAUUGUGACACGGGGAGAAAAGGGGUUUUGUAUAUAUAUAUAUAAAUUCCUUUAGAAAAUUACUCUGUAAUUGCUUAUGUUUUCAUAUAAGAAUUAUUCUUUGUGAAAAGUAUUGGUUUUGUAUAACUUAUAACGCAUCGUGUUGAUGCGGAGGAUUUUGUAUUUUGUGAUAUUCAAACCAGCGCUUUAUAAUCAGAUUUUCAA
Long non-coding RNA from Trifolium pratense (red clover), 3947 nucleotides. RefSeq lists it as uncharacterized. The transcript is spliced from 2 exons. Lineage: Eukaryota; Viridiplantae; Streptophyta; Magnoliopsida; Fabales; Fabaceae. The record is from RefSeq and is a predicted model, not a curated record.